AGACCCCAAAACCCGGGGCAGAUACAAUAUUCUUUUUGGACUAACAUCUGGUGGGCCUUACAAUUAUAAUGGAACCUCAAAGUGGUUAAGGAGUCUAGAUCAACGUUUACGAGAAAGCAUUGAUUAUGCUAUAUGUUUGAAUAGUAUUGGUUCCUGGAACGAUGAAUUGUGGAUUCAUGUCUCAAAGCCUCCAGAGAACGCCUACAUAAAACAAGUUUAUGAAGGGUUAUCA
Molecule: unclassified non-coding RNA, 232 nt
Filed under: Hevea brasiliensis (rubber tree)
Lineage: Eukaryota; Viridiplantae; Streptophyta; Magnoliopsida; Malpighiales; Euphorbiaceae
Source: RNAcentral